ACCUCGGGGAACAUGUUUCGGGGCAGUUUGAACAUCUUUAUAGCCCAGCCUGCCCAUUGCAUUGUAAAAGGAUCGAAGAGUCCGGUGGCGGAGGCGCUGGAUGCGUCGGUUACAUGUUUACCUGAAUUACAUUUUAUAUUGAGAAGCCAGCAAUCUACUCCUCCGAAGAUCGCUCUGCCUUCCGCCGCAGCUUCCUUCAGACCAGGCACAUUGUGCAACGCCCAAGUCAAUCGCAACGUCGUCUGAAAGAUAAAAUAAUCGAUGGUCUUGCGAAACAUUACCUAUGGGCAUGUAUGAGGGAAAGUAGCUUAAAUGGAUCCCCGCAGGCCAGACGAUAGUUCUCAAUUGUACCACAUUUGCUCGAAGAAUACAGCGUUCUUUAAAAGCUUAAGAAUCUACCCGCGCACUGUUCAAGAAUAAGGCAAAGGAUACAGUGCAGAUUAUCAAACUUUCGUGAAGGAUGAAGGGAACUGGAUAACGUCGCAGCGUGUGUUAAGCACUGCCGAGGAUGCAGGCAUUGAGCUUGACAUUCGACCCUUUUAGAUUUUGGGAAACUGCCAUCGAAUCAAGAUCGACUAGCCUUAAUGUUAAUUAUUGCCACGAUGCACAGACGAGUGGCUGCCGGCCAGUUUUGUGAUGCCAGUUCGCACCAGUAAGCGAGUAACGCCCGAUGGUAACACACCUGUGUGUUUUGCGGGUCUGCAUUGGACAACCAAUUUUCGAAAUUAUACCCUAACACUUCGUGGUGGAUAUAGUGAUCAAAAUUUGUUAGUU
Diprion similis is the source of this 774-nucleotide long non-coding RNA. RefSeq lists it as uncharacterized. The transcript has 4 exons. The record is from RefSeq and is a predicted model, not a curated record. NCBI's taxonomy places the organism in Eukaryota, Metazoa, Arthropoda, Insecta, Hymenoptera, Diprionidae.